GAUGAACGCUGACAGAAUGCUUAACACAUCAGCAAUUGAUUGGUGGCGGACGGGUGAGUAACGCGUAAAGAACUUGCCUCUCAGCUAGGGACAACAUUUGGAACCGAAUGCUAAUACCUAAUACUGUGGGAGAGCUUUGCGUCCCAUUAGCUAGUUGGAGAGGUAACGGCUCACCAAGGCGAUGAUGGGUAGCCGGCCUGAGAGGGUGAUCGGCCACAAGGGGACUGGGACACGGCCCUUAUGCCUUCGGGAGGCAGCAGUGGGGAACAGUGGAAAAUUGACCAAAGUCUGAUCCAGCAAUUCUGGGUGCAAGAUGAUGUUUUCGGAAUGUAAAGUGCUUUAAGUUGAGAAGCGGUACCAACAGAAGAAGUGACGGCUAAAUACGUGCCAGCAGCCGCGGUAAUUC
RNAcentral lists this ribosomal RNA (406 nucleotides) under uncultured bacterium. RNAcentral's name for it is "partial 16S ribosomal RNA". It matches the Rfam family "Bacterial small subunit ribosomal RNA", at positions 28 to 526 of the family's 1533-position model. The record is from RNAcentral.